UCAUAUCUUCUUUUCUCUUGUUUGUUGUAUGAGAGGAUGCAAUUGUAAGACCCUGUGAUGUGGCAUUUGUAUUCUUAUGACCAUACUUUGGAGGUUGGUAUAAGUCCAGAUAGAUGGCAUCCGGUAUCAUUGUUUAUUUUAGGAGAUUGGUGUAAACCCAUUUGUUGGUAUCCGAUAUCCGCUUUUGCUUUUGUGAGAUUGGUAUAAGACCAUUGAUGGCAUCCGG
This 226-nucleotide long non-coding RNA is filed under the name Lathyrus oleraceus (garden pea). RNAcentral describes it as "Pisum sativum (pea) long non-coding RNA (PSAT_LNC019486)". The record is from RNAcentral. Lineage: Eukaryota; Viridiplantae; Streptophyta; Magnoliopsida; Fabales; Fabaceae.